Heterocephalus glaber (naked mole-rat) is the source of this 106-nucleotide small nuclear RNA. The record is from Ensembl. NCBI's taxonomy places the organism in Eukaryota, Metazoa, Chordata, Mammalia, Rodentia, Bathyergidae.
GUGCUCACUUCAUCAGCACACACACUAAAAUGGCAAUGGCACAGAGAAGAUUAGCACGGCCCCGUGCAAGGAUGAUAUGCACAUUCAUGAAGUGUUCCAUUUUUUG